GGAAUAUUGGACAAUGGACGCAAGUCUGAUCCAGCCAUGCCGCGUGCAGGAAGAAUGCCCUAUGGGUUGUAAACUGCUUUUAUUUGGGAAUAAACCCCUUUACGUGUAGAGGUCUGAAUGUACCAAAUGAAUAAGCACCGGCUAACUCCGUUCCACCAGCCGCGGUAAUACGGAGGGUGCAAGCGUUAUCCGGAAUCAUUGGGUUUAAAGGGUCCGCAGGCGGACGUAUAAGUCAGUGGUGAAAUCCUACAGCUUAACUGUAGAACUGCCAUUGAUACUGUAUGUCUUGAAUUCGGUCGAAGUGGGCGGAAUAUGUCAUGUAGCGGUGAAAUGCUUAGAUAUGACAUAGAACACCGAUAGCGAAGGCAGCUCACUAGGCCUGGAUUGACGCUCAGGGAAGAAAGCGUGGGGAGCG
This 415-nucleotide ribosomal RNA is filed under the name uncultured bacterium. RNAcentral's name for it is "bacterial SSU rRNA". It matches the Rfam family "Bacterial small subunit ribosomal RNA", at positions 358 to 770 of the family's 1533-position model. The record is from RNAcentral.